GUGCUGAUUGGACUAUUCAAAAAAGUAAGAAUCCUCGAAGAUAAUUGGCAAGUACAUAAAGAACUGAAACAAAUCAGAAAAUCCUUCUUGGUUUCUGAUAUGACUUGAAUUCUGCAUAUUCAAAUAUUGUAUACAGUAUUUAAUGCAACAUCGAAACAUUAAAUUAAUAUUCAGAUAAAGUGGAAUGUAAAUAAAACGAAAAAAUUUACAUACAUAAUUUUUAUUUAAAUUUAAAUACAAAACAAAAUUGAAUUUUACAUUUGAAAAUUUGGAUACUGUGCUAUUCAUAAGCAUAGCAUUUAGGUAAUAUUUGCUGUUGGCCCAAUUAUUUUGGAUCUGUCCUUUGAUUGUUUUAGCAAUCAUACCAUUUUCUAACGAAGAAGCUUUUGUUAAACAUAUGGUAUUGGGAGAAUGCUAUGAGAAUUUUUGAGUUGCUGCACACCUAUAUGCUGAAAGAUAUUCACAAUACACACAUCGUUCUCAAUAUAUUUUUUGACAUUUGGUGACUCAUGGACAGACUUUAUCAGGUUAACCAAUAUGAACUGCAAUCAAUAGAUCAGGAUAUCAGUGAGAGAUGUUCAUGCAGUUGAUGUUCUUUCUAGUUUUGCUUUGACUCUUCAUAAUUUUACCAGAAGCAUAGCAUCAGAGUUUGGCAUAGGCCAUAUGACAGUGUGGAGAAUUCUACAGAAUAGCAGCUUCUGUCCAUAUCAAAUCCACCAACAUUAACAGUUUAGAACAAUAAUUUUGAGGUCCAUGUGGACUUCUGCAAUUUGUUUGUAACCAAAACCAAUAGAUUUCAACUUCAAAUUCUGUGGACUGAUGAGGCAACAUUCAAAACCCUAAUGCUGAAGAAUAUAGCACUGGUAACAUGAAGAAUUAUGUUGAUGCAACAUGAUGGCUAUCCAGCUCAUUUCUCAUUUGGCUGUUUGGCAUGCAGCCAAUCAUAUUUUUUCUGGAUGAUAGAUUGGGAAAGGAAGUCCCAUGGCAUGGCUACCUCAAUCUCUAGAUUUAUCACAACUGCACAAUUUAUAGAGUUGGGUAAGAGAAAUCAUGUACUAAGAUUGUCUAACAACACAAGAUGACAUGAACAGUGAAAUUGGAAAAAUUUCUGCUUUUUAUCAUUCGUGCAGAAGUCCUUUGAGUUAUAAACAGUAUCAGAAGUAGACUUAGCAGAUGAUUGGAUGUAGGUGACAGACAAUUGUAACAUUUUUUGUAAUGCAUCAGGCUAAGGGAGACUUUCCAAACAAGUAUAAUUCCAUAGGAAUACAUCUUUUCUGUAAUUAGUGUAACAUCACCUCUGUAACCAACUAGGUACCUUAUUCUAAGUAAAGCUGUAAAUAAAUACACAUAAUUUAAUUCUGUUAUUAAAUAAUUAAUUAAACAAUAAAAUUAAGAAUAAUAACACUAAUAACAAUGCAAAUAAAUAUUAUUAUUUAUUUCAAAUAAAACCAAGAUUUCACUUAUGAGAUACUGAUCUAUUUAUACUACAAUAUAAUACAAAUAGGCCAUUAAUAUAUACAUGCUGUACAAUAAAUAGGAAAGCCCUCAUUUCUUCAUAAUUCUAGAAUAAAGGGAACUCAAGCCAUAGACACAACAAAUCCCAUUAUUGCAGUUUGACAGGAAAUCCUAUCCAAGAAGAGUUUCCUCAAUAUAUUCCAGUCCAUCAUUACCGAUCAGUUUUCCUCUGAUUCUUAUUUUCUGAAUAACCCAGUCGGUAUUGCAUGU
RNAcentral lists this long non-coding RNA (1725 nucleotides) under Androctonus crassicauda. The record is from RNAcentral. Lineage: Eukaryota; Metazoa; Arthropoda; Arachnida; Scorpiones; Buthidae.